AUUACAAGAGCACCUCCUCCCCCAACCCCAGGAGGCCCCGCUCCCCAGGCCUCGGCCGGCGCGGACCCCUGGUUGCCCCGGGGUCGAGAGCAGCCGGGGAGAGCUGAGUUCAGAGCCCAGAGUUGGACAUCAGGCCACACGCUGAGAGGGUAGUAAAUGAAAGGGAGUCCGGUUUAGUCGCGGGCAGGGCAUCUCCUCUUCUGCUUGUCUAAAAGUCGCUGGGUGCAGGGGAAGCAAUACUAAGCGGGAAUUUCUUUUUAGUGGCAUCUACACAAUUUGCCUUUCCUGGUUUUUGUUUUGUUUUGUUUUGUUUCCUAAGGAGGGGGAGGCUCUGUAGAGGAAGCUUCGGCCCUGGGUGCCCCUGGGUUGGGAGCAGUCGGGGAGCGCUGAGCCAGGGCGCACGCCCUGUCGGCGCUGCGGGUGUGGGGCGCAGGAGUCCUUCUGGCCGGCCCCUCCGCCCCCCGGGGAGGCUGGAGCUCUCCAAGGCCGGGGAGCCUCCCGAAGCGCGCUGCCCCCUCUGUUCUCCGCGUGCUUUCACUAGGGCCCCAUGCUGCUUAGUGGCCGAUUUGCAGGGAAUCUGGGCACAAUCUUAAUAACACCAGGGCCAAAAAUAACAACGUUCCUGGGAACCGAGCAGCUGGAGCGCACCCCAUGGACGCUGGGCCAUCUCCCCGGGGACUAGUGCCUGACAGAGCUGACAGAGUUCUAGGCCACAUGUGGGCUAGAAGGAACCGCCAUGUCUACCACAGCACAGUCCUUAAGCAGGAGCCUUUUGAAGCACUUGGACUCAAAACAAUGGCUGUUUGUUGUUGUUGUUGUUGUUGUUUGUUUGUUUUGAGGGAGCCAGAAAGCUAAAAAAUGUAAAAGAAGCAGGUCACAUUAGACAUGAUUUCAGACAGCCUCCCCGAAGGACAGAUGAUCUCACUUGGCAACACAUACUGGGCCAGGCUCACUCAUGAGGGGGCAGCGUGGCAUGCACCCCACUCAGGGGCAAGAAUGAAGCUUAAAUAUUAGCUGACUCAGAACAUAGCAAGUGCUCAGUAAUGGCUUCUGGAACGAACCCGUGGUUGUCACCAGCAGGAGUGACGAAAGCUAGAAGCCGUUUCACCAUCCAAGGAAGAGGAGGAACAAUAUUUUUCUCUUUGGAGUUCCCACACUCAGAAGAGAGAACACCAGCAUAUGAACACAGAGUGUCACAUGAUGUAGGAAACAUCCUGUAGGUAGAGAGUAUAAUUCCAAAGCUUAGGAUCCUGCUAGUUCCUUGUGCAGUGCUUCCGGUGGGCAACAUGGUGCCUCCCCAGUCCCUCAGGCUUGAGGCGGGCCAGCACAGCUUCUCUGGGAGCCAGGUCAUUUCAGAAUUUAACCCCAGAACUAGGUCACCCCAGGCAACACAAGGCUCCUCUCCCUUGGAUACAGGAAGCGGAGGAAAAGGCCAGGCAUGCUCAGGGGCAAACCAACACCCAGGUGAAAGGGAGCUGGGCUGGUUUCGGGGAGCAGCCUGGUUUCAGGGAGCCGGACUCACGAUGUGCUUGAGACCCUCAAAUUCACCCCUGGAAGCAGCUGCCCCCGUGACAAGGAACUAAGGACAGGCAUGUCAUGGACUGUGAAUUGGAGUGACAUUUGUCCCUCCCUUCACCAACAGACUGCCCCAAGAGCUUCCCAAGUUAUCUGCCAUAGAAUACCUUGUUUCCCUCGAGUCUCUGAAAGGGGGCCGCAAAAGCUGUCCCCACGCUGGAAAUGCAGGGCCAGGCUUUUAAAGUUUUGCUCCCGGAUUAUGAGAACACCUAGAAAAUUCAGUGCUCCUCUCCACUCCCCCAAACCCCUUCACAAGCCCCCACCCUUUGUUUAACAAACAUAUAUAUAGUGCUUUCCUGGUACCAGAUACUACUUUAAGCACUUGACAAAAUAUUUAGUCAUACAUAAAACCCUUAUAAUUACACUGUAAUUCACUCUCGUCAGAUCCAGUCAUUGUGAAGAAACGGAGGCACGGGGAGAUUAAGAGAGCUACUUAAGAAGACACGGUGCCAGGUUUCUACCCAAGCCAUUUGGAUCUAGGGUCUGGAGGCCAUAUGGGAUCUCAUUCUGUCACCCAGGCUUGUAGUGCAGUGACCCCAUCACGAUUCACUGCAGCCUUGAACUCCUGGGCUCAAGCAAUCCUCCUGCCUCAGCCUCCUGAGUUGCUAAGGCCACAAAUAUUUAUCCAUUUUACUGCUAAUGCAAUUUGAGCUGUUUUCAACUUUUUCCUAUUAAAACAUUAUUGCUAUGAACAUUCUUAUAAAA
RNAcentral lists this long non-coding RNA (2280 nucleotides) under Homo sapiens (human). Its description in RNAcentral is "HSALNT0346361". The record is from RNAcentral. Lineage: Eukaryota; Metazoa; Chordata; Mammalia; Primates; Hominidae.